AACUCCUGGCCUCGAGAGAUCCUCCCAUCUCAGCCUCCCAGGAGCUGAACACUGCCCCAAGAAUGCAACAGAACCUCAACUCUGUCCCCAGGUCAUCAGCCACAGCUCCAAGUUUCUUCGCAUCAGCUUUUUCUGAACAAAAUAGUGCAUCCUGCUGGAAUCACUACUGUAAACUGAGUAUAAAGGAAAAUAAACCCUCUUUUUCUUA
Long non-coding RNA from Cercocebus atys (sooty mangabey), 208 nucleotides. RefSeq lists it as uncharacterized. Lineage: Eukaryota; Metazoa; Chordata; Mammalia; Primates; Cercopithecidae. The transcript has 2 exons. The record is from RefSeq and is a predicted model, not a curated record.